UGGGGAAUAUUGCACAAUGGAGGGAACUCUGAUGCAGCGACGCCGCGUGAGUGAUGAAGGAAUUCGUUUCGUAAAACUCUGUUCUAUGGGAAGAAAAGGACUGUACCAUAGGAGAAAGCUCCGGCUAAAUACGUGCCAGCAGCCGCGGUAAUACGUAUGGAGCGAGCGUUGUCCGGAAUUAUUGGGCGUAAAGGGUGCGCAGGCGGCUUUACAAGUUGGAUGUGAAAUAUUGUGGCUCAACCACAAACGUGCAUCCAAAACUGCAAAGCUUGAGUUAAGGAGAGGUAAGUGGAAAUCCGGGUGUAGCGGUGGAAUGCGUAGAUAUCAGGAGGAAUACCGGUGGCGAAGGCGACUUACUGGACUUAAACUGACGCUCAGGCACGAAAGCGUGGGGAGCAAACAGG
RNAcentral lists this ribosomal RNA (404 nucleotides) under Fusobacteriota bacterium. RNAcentral's name for it is "Fusobacteria bacterium partial 16S ribosomal RNA". It matches the Rfam family "Bacterial small subunit ribosomal RNA", at positions 355 to 776 of the family's 1533-position model. Lineage: Bacteria; Fusobacteriati; Fusobacteriota. The record is from RNAcentral.